GAUGAACGCUGGCGGCGUGCCUAAUACAUGCAAGUCGAGCGAACAGACGAGAGUGCUUGCACUCUCUGACGUUAGCGGCGGACGGGUGAGUAACACGUGGGUAACCUACCUAUAAGACUGGGAUAACUUCGGGAAACCGGAGCUAAUACCGGAUAAUAUUUAGCUUCGCAUGAAGCAAUAGUGAAAGACGGUUCUGCUGUCACUUAUAGAUGGACCCGCGGUGUAUUAGCUAGUUGGUGAGGUAACGGCUCACCAAGGCAACGAUACAUAGCCGACCUGAGAGGGUGAUCGGCCGCACUGGGACUGAGACACGGCCCAGACUCCUACGGGAGGCAGCAGUAGGGAAUCUUCCGCAAUGGACGAAAGUCUGACGGAGCAAUGCCGCGUGAGUGAAGAAGGUUUUCGGAUCCUAAAACUCUGUUGUAAGGGAAGAACAAGUACGUUAGUAACUGAACGUACCUUGACGGUACCUUACCAGAAAGCCACGGCUAACUACGUG
RNAcentral lists this ribosomal RNA (499 nucleotides) under uncultured bacterium. RNAcentral's name for it is "partial 16S ribosomal RNA". It matches the Rfam family "Bacterial small subunit ribosomal RNA", at positions 28 to 507 of the family's 1533-position model. The record is from RNAcentral.